This 240-nucleotide ribosomal RNA is filed under the name Triticum aestivum (bread wheat). Its description in RNAcentral is "partial small subunit ribosomal RNA". The record is from RNAcentral. Lineage: Eukaryota; Viridiplantae; Streptophyta; Magnoliopsida; Poales; Poaceae.
AUGAAUGAGAAACUUUCGAUUUUUAGCUGGAACGUGAGAGGCCUCAACGAUGGUGCUAGGCGUGCCGCCUCUUGCGCGCUUAUUGAUAGCCUUGACUGCUCCAUUGUUUGUCUGCAAGAAACCAAGCUGCCGUCCUGUAUGACGUCUGAUCGGCACGAAGUUGUGGGGCGGCGCUUUGAUCAGCACGUUGCGCUUGAUGCUGAUGGCACGCGUGGCGGCAUUAUGCUGUGUUGGCGCUCG